RNAcentral lists this ribosomal RNA (427 nucleotides) under uncultured marine bacterium. RNAcentral's name for it is "bacterial SSU rRNA". It matches the Rfam family "Bacterial small subunit ribosomal RNA", at positions 360 to 804 of the family's 1533-position model. The record is from RNAcentral.
AAUCUUGGACAAUGGGCGCAAGCCUGAUCCAGCCAUGCCGCGUGAGUGAUGAAGGCCCUAGGGUCGUAAAGCUCUUUCGCCUGUGAAGAUAAUGACGGUAGCAGGUAAAGAAACCCCGGCUAACUCCGUGCCAGCAGCCGCGGUAAUACGGAGGGGGUUAGCGUUGUUCGGAAUUACUGGGCGUAAAGCGCACGUAGGCGGACUAGUAAGUAAGAGGUGAAAUCCCAGGGCUCAACCCUGGAACUGCCUUUUAAACUGCUAAUCUAGAGAUCGAGAGAGGUGAGUGGAAUUCCAAGUGUAGAGGUGAAAUUCGUAGAUAUUUGGAGGAACACCAGUGGCGAAGGCGGCUCACUGGCUCGAUACUGACGCUGAGGUGCGAAAGCGUGGGGAGCAAACGGGAUUAGAUACCCUGGUAGUCCACGCCGUA